Molecule: long non-coding RNA, 1438 nt
Filed under: Medicago truncatula (barrel medic)
Lineage: Eukaryota; Viridiplantae; Streptophyta; Magnoliopsida; Fabales; Fabaceae
Description: long non-coding RNA (MTRU_LNC005895)
Source: RNAcentral
GCAGAUUAGCAUCAGGAUGUCGAUGUAAGAAUUGAGGAUUAGGGACAGUAGGAGGUGGACCUUUCUCCAAUCUAAUUUCUUCCCAUGGGGUCGGGGUCUUCUUUUUGUUGCAACUUACUCUAAUUUUAGAGAUUUUUUGCACAAUCGCAGCUUUAUUGCGAUGAUACAAGUGAGUUCCUAGAAUAGGAUGAUUCACAAUUCGAUUAACAUCUUCGUUGAGAUAGUAACAGCCGCACAAUACAGCAUCAUUCUCGACAUUGCUAUAACUGGAACUACAAUAACAAAGCAAAAAUAGUUAGAAAAAGAUGGCUGCACAAAAGAACCCUAUCCUCAUUAGCAUACCAAUGGGAAAUACAAAAAACAACGCAGAAAUGUGAAAACAUGGAAAACAAAAGGCUGCCUUUCAACUUACAUAGGCCUGGCAACUUACCCAGAACGAGGAACAACAGUAAUAUCAUUAGCAUACACAUCAGUAGAAACCAUCAUGUUCGAAAGCUGAGGUCCAGAAAAUACCACCAUCUGCCUGUCACCUUCAUGUGGAGGCACUCCAAAUUGACUAGAUGAACCAGAGGGCAUCUAAUAAAAAUUAAACAAUACAAAAAUUAGGCCAAUUGUGAGUUUGAAGUUUGAUUAUACAAAUUAAAGACAUACAUAAAGUGAUUUAAACAAACAGACAGACUAUUACAAUAGUCCCCACAACACUAGAUUUGUAUCUCACUAUCUUCCCCAACCAUUCUCUCUCCCACAUGUCAGUCUCUCUCACCCACUAUAUUCCAUAUUUACCUCCAUCAUUUACCAGUUAGAAUGUGAUAAAAUAUAACUGUUUACUGAAACGGAAAAUCCAUAUUGUACAACUUUGGUUGCAGCCAAAUAAUCCAUAUUGUACUUUAGUUGCAAACUGAGGAUUUAAACAAACAGGAGUAAUACAACCCUAAAUGUAUCCUGAUAAAAAUAAAAAUUUACCACUAGCAAAAAACAAAAUGUAACAAAACAAAUGAAAUUUGUUUCAGAUUACAGACACAUUUUAUGAGUUUUUAUUAGUUUUUCAAAAAAAUAAAUUGGAAGUGUAAAAUAAUCAGUGAGGGUUGAUCGUUUAUUGAUAAUAGUUCAAGAAAACCUAACCGUGGAUAAAAUCAAAAAUAACCAGAUGAUCAAAUAACACUAACGUUAACAGAAUAGUUGUGUAAACUCAAAAUGUAUAAAAAAAGAAAAAAAAUAUAUAUAAGUAGGGUUGAGAUUUUGCAGAAUGAAGUCUUAAAAUAAAAAUAAAAAACUCACAGCAGUAGAAGGGGUAUCCAUGUAUAAAAUCUGAUCAACAUCCAUAUCUCCACUAGAACCCAAACCUGGAACUUCUACAGACUCGAUCAUUCUUGAAAGUUCAUCGUCAGCCAACAACUCGUCAAUGAAGCCAUCACCAAUACUACCAACAUCCAUAUUU